Molecule: long non-coding RNA, 250 nt
Organism: Gossypium raimondii (Peruvian cotton)
Lineage: Eukaryota; Viridiplantae; Streptophyta; Magnoliopsida; Malvales; Malvaceae
Exons: 3
Source: RefSeq, a predicted model, not a curated record
GCCUGCUUUAAUUAUUUAAAUGUUGUAUAGGGGAAUGAAUUAUCUUCACAAGCACAAGCCCAAGCCAAUAGUGCAUAACAAUUUGGAUCCCAGAAAUUUAUUGCAAGAUGAAAGUGGGCACUUAAAAAUUGGGGAGUAUUGGGUUCAAAUGCUGUAUGAACAAAUACAACCAAAUCAAGACGCCUCUCAAAUAAAUGAAAUUUGUGACACCAAAAAAGAUGUUCGUGCAUUUGGCUUCAUACUUUACCAG